UGUGAGCUCAUUUUAUCCUCAGGCACACUGGAAAGUAGGCAUACUAUACAGUAACAGCCAACUUUUUGUUCAUUCUAACUCUUACCACACCGAGCUUUCCUUGGUGUCAGCCACAGGGGUCACUAAGCCAUCAGCUGAUCAAGAAAGGCCCUGGUCUGUGUUGUUACCCUCACAGUGUCCAUGUGAAACUGGAAUUUUCUAUGGUACUAUGUGGUGUCACGGACUCAGUCAAAGUCUCCCGAGUAGCUGGACUACAGGUGCCCGCUCUCAGGCCUCUGAGCCCAAGCCAAGCCAUCGCAUCCCCUGUGACUUGCACGUAUAUGCCCAGAUGGCCUGAAGUAACUGAAGAAUCACAAAAGAAGUGAAUAUGCCCUGCCCCACCUUAACUGAUGACAUUCCACCAUAAAAGAAGUGGACGCGCAUGAAAUUUGGUGCCGCGACUCAGAUCGGGGGACCUCCCUUAGGAGAUCAAUCCCCUGUCCUCCUGUUCUUUGCUCCGUGAGAAAGAUCCACCUAUGACCUCAGGUCCUCAGACCGGACCAGCCCAAGGAACAUCUCACCAAUUUUAAAUCAGGUUCCCACGCCGACCCUAAUGCCGCUUGAAGCAGCCCUGAGAAACAUCGCCCAUUCUCUCUCUCCAUAUCACCCCCCAAAAAUUUUUGCCACCCCAACACUUCAACACUAUUUUGUUUUAUUUUUCUUAUUAAUAUAAGAAGGCAGGAAUGUCAGGCCUCUGAGCCCAAGCCAAGCCAUCGCAUCCCCUGUGACUUGCACGUAUACGCCCAGAUGGCCUGAAGUAACUGAAGAAUCACAAAAGAAGUGAAUAUGCCCUGCCUCACCUUAGCUGAUGACAUUCUACCACAAAAGAAGUGUAAAUGGCCAGUCCUUGCCUUAAGUGAUGACAUUACCUUGUGAAAGUCCUUUCCCUGGCUCAUCCUGGCUCAAAAAGCACCCCCACUGAGCACCUUGCCACCCCCACUCCUGCCCGCCAGAGAACAAACCCUCUUUGACUGUAAUUUUCCUUUACCUUCCCAAAUCCUAUAAAACGGCCCCACCCUUAUCUCCCUUCGCUGACUCUCUUUUCAGACUCAGCCCGCCUGCACCCAGGUGAUUAAAAGCUUUAUUGCUCACACAAAGCCUGUUUGGUGGUCUCUUCACAGGGACGCGCAUGAAACCCGCCACCACGCCCGGCUAAUUUUUUGUAUUUUUAGUAGAGAAGGGGUUUCACCAUGUUAGCCAAGAUGGUCUCAAUCUCCUGACCUUGUGAUCCACCCUCCUCAGCCUCCCAAAGUGCUGGGAUCACAGGCGUGAGCCACCGUGCCCGGCCGUAAGUAGUAAUUUGAAUGAUUUCUACGUCAAAGAUAUGGCUACAGGCCAAGAAAAUACAGUGGUGGGUUAACAGACACAGUCUUGGCCCUAAAAAGGUUUACAGUCUAGUGGGAGAAGUAGCCUCAAAUAAGGGACUAGACAAA
RNAcentral lists this long non-coding RNA (1472 nucleotides) under Homo sapiens (human). RNAcentral describes it as "HSALNT0070128". The record is from RNAcentral. Lineage: Eukaryota; Metazoa; Chordata; Mammalia; Primates; Hominidae.